CAGUAGCCACGGUAAAACGUAGGGUGCAAGCGUUAAUCGGAAUUACUGGGCGUAAAGCGUGCGCAGGCGGUUAUAUAAGUCAGAUGUGAAAUCCCCGGGCUCAACCUGGGAACUGCAUUUGAGACUGUAUGGCUAGAGUGUGUCAGAGGGGGGUAGAACUCCACGUGUAGCAGUGAAAUGCGUAGAUAUGUGGAGGAAUACCGAUGGCGAAGGCAGCCCCCUGGGAUAACACUGACGCUCAUGCACGAAAGCGUGGGGAGCAAACAGGAUUAGAUACCCCCGUAGUCCCUGUCUCUUAUAC
RNAcentral lists this ribosomal RNA (301 nucleotides) under uncultured bacterium. Its description in RNAcentral is "partial 16S ribosomal RNA". It matches the Rfam family "Bacterial small subunit ribosomal RNA", at positions 509 to 807 of the family's 1533-position model. The record is from RNAcentral.